UCAUACUUCAGUUUGUGCUCUGUGCCUGCUGGCUCUGAGCAUGAGGCAAAUAGGAAACACUUGCUCAAGAAUGUUUUGCGGUCCCCUGUGGUCUACAGUGGAUAAAAAGGUCUUAAUUUUUCCUAGGAAUUACCAUGCAGUGAGCCUUGCAUUUCCAUUUAGACUGAGUUCUGUGAGAGAAGCACCCGUGCCUGUCGUGCCCUCUAUGGUGUCCCAGAUCCCAGUGCCAGCUUGAGACAUAGUAGGGGUUCAGUAAAUACCUGCAGGAUGAAUGCAAGUGUGUGUUUGGCUCCUGACGCCCAAUACGAACUACGUGAUAUUGAGAAAGUCAGAUAAUCUCUAAGCCUCAGUUUCUUCAUCUAUAAAUUUGGGAUAAAAAUCCUUUAUUGCCUCACAGGAUUGAUGUGAAGGUAAAAAUCAAGCAGUCCUCCCACCUUGGCCUCCACAAGUGCAAGGAUUACAGGCAUGAACCACCACACCGAGCCUGAUUUCUUUGUGAAAUGCAGUUUAUACAUUUGUGGUGAAGAUGAAAUGAGAUCUCAUGCCUGAAAGUGCUUAGCACAAUGUAAGUACACAGUAAGCACUCCAUAAAUGCUGGCUAGUGGGUCUUCAUCCAGAUCGUCAUCACCAUCAUCACCAUCAUCAUCUUAGUAGUCAUUUGACCAAAGCUUGGCCAGUGGGGGCCCAAUAUGGGACCUUGACCCCGAUAGGCCCUUCAGCCAAGGCCACAUUAUAAGUUUCAUGGGUCCUAAGCACUUUUGACUUUGGGGCUAAGGGCCCCUUCCUCCAUUAAAAAAAAAGAAAAAAAAAAAA
This is a long non-coding RNA of Sapajus apella (tufted capuchin), 813 nucleotides long. RefSeq lists it as uncharacterized. The transcript is spliced from 2 exons. Lineage: Eukaryota; Metazoa; Chordata; Mammalia; Primates; Cebidae. The record is from RefSeq and is a predicted model, not a curated record.